Molecule: long non-coding RNA, 1966 nt
Organism: Cygnus olor (mute swan)
Lineage: Eukaryota; Metazoa; Chordata; Aves; Anseriformes; Anatidae
Exons: 2
Source: RefSeq, a predicted model, not a curated record
UUGUCUGCAAGAUAAAACUGAAGUGUCUUGCACUGUUUGUUCUCAGCUAGAACAUACAGUUGGUUUCUUUGGGUUUUCUUUAGGCAAGGACGAUCAUCACCUGAGGUAAUCCUGGAUUCUUACUGGUAACUUAGCUAGCCUGCAUUUUUUCACCACCUCUUAAGUGACCCAGGUGUGUGUGCGUACCAGAGUAAAAAGUUUUGAAGAAAACCUACUUUUGAACCAACCCUUUUCAGUGGUUAUUAUGAAAAGUGGCAAAUCUAUAGUAGACUUGGAAUUCUAACAUUCACGAGUGAGAAAGUGAAUGAUCAAAUCCUGCCUGAAAGAGCUUGUCUGCUGCAGGUCACAGCCAUUUCCUGUUUAAAACCAAACCAUUCCCCAGCAAAACAAAAACACACCAGAACCAAGCAACAAAAACCAAAGCAUGACAGGAGGAAGCCUCAGGAGCUGAAAGAUGCAAAGUCCAUUGCAAAAGGUCUAUUCCUCUCUUAAUGCCAGGUGAUACUCUUAACUUCGUGUAACUGUGGGGAAUGCCUCUCUUACUUCUGCGGGUUAUAGCUCAUACUUAAGCUCAGCCUUAGACCUUCUAAAUUCUGUAUUUGGAAAAGUACAUUUAAUAUAUAUGAGGUUAUUUUGCUGCUCUUUACAGAUCUAAUUUGAAGUCCUAUGGUGUCGUACCUAAGAAAAAAAUGAGAAUAUAUGUGUGCUUUGGCAUGUUUAGGGAUUUGAAGGUAAAAGUGUCUUUUCUCUGUGAAAUGUAGAUGUAGAAAUUUUAGUUGAAAUACUGCUUAUUACUGUACAAAAUUUCUAAGUUAAUGAAAGAAAAAACCUUCUGCACUUAAAUAAUCACCAAAAGCAAGAAAUGUAGAGAAUCCAGUCGAUGUUUUUUUUUCCUGUAUCACUGUUCCAUGGCACAGGACUGAUGUUUCUGUGUUUUGAUUUGUUUUUGUUUUGGUUCUUGUUUUUUCUUCUUUGAUUGGAAUGACUCAAUAUGACUUGAGCCAUUUGUCGUCAAUAAAUAAGGCUACACUGAGUAAAGCACUUCUCCCUUCCACCACUCCUUGUCAACUUCCCGAUUCCUAAACAGUUCCUUAUAGCCAGGAAGAAGGUAAGUUAAAAGGGUAGUAGGACCUUACUCUUCUUUGCCGUUUUCAUCCCUAGGUAUUAGUUUCAGUCUGAUAUGUAUCACUUUGCUGUAUGUUAUAUAUGUCAGACAACAAAAACUUUGAGUUGUCUAAGCCUAUGUAGAAAGGUAGUUUCCCAGUCUGUAUUGGCCAUAGUUUUCUGAUACUAAUUCUUAACCAAUUUGAGUGUUCUGACACAGCAAAAUCCAUGUACAUGUGUUGUUGAAGGCUAGUUGUGCUCCUGGCAGUGGCUAAUAGGUCACACAAAGCUGGUUGCUAGUGAUCAGAGCUCUGGAGUGUAGCUUCAUCUGGUAGGUUUUAUGCCCCAACCAACCAAAAAAAAAAGUUCAAUGUGAAAUUGUCUGCUCUAGUCACAAGUCACACAAUCUAAAUUUAUUACAGAUGAGUGUAUGGAAAUGUGUAGCCCAAGCACUGUCUAGGAAUUCUCUUCAGCUUCUCUUUUCAGACCAAACAACUCUUGGUUCUAAUUUUAUUAGUUAAGGGGAAUACUUUGAUCUUCAUGGAAGGCGCUACAGUUGAAGUUUCUAGCUGUUAUUUUUCAUAGGUUAAGAAAACCUGUGUGAGAGUACAUGUACAUGCGUAUGGAGGGUACAUGUACAUGCGUAUGGAGAGCCUUCACUGCGUGUGGGCAGCUGUGUUUUGCCGUGCCCAGGAGGUGGGAAGCUGGCGAUACAGCCAUGGCCACCAACUGCAGCUCCCGAGGCGAAGGGCUGAACCGUGCUGUUUUACCUUGGCUUUUGCUAGUUUAUGAAAACUAUAAUGCGUGCUACUUUUGCUGUUUUCUAUUACUGUCAUUAAAUGUACUUCUGUUGGUCAAUUAC